RNAcentral lists this ribosomal RNA (481 nucleotides) under uncultured bacterium. RNAcentral describes it as "partial 16S ribosomal RNA". It matches the Rfam family "Bacterial small subunit ribosomal RNA", at positions 28 to 523 of the family's 1533-position model. The record is from RNAcentral.
GACGAACGCUGGCGGCGUGCUUAACACAUGCAAGUCGAGCGGUAAGGCCCUUUCGGGGGUAUACGAGCGGCGAACGGGUGAGUAACACGUGAGCAACCUGCCCUUCUCUUUGGAAUAAGCGUUGGAAACGACGUCUAAUGCCGAAUAUGACCCCCUGUCGCAUGGUGGGGGGUGGAAAGCGCUGGCGGAGAAGGAUGGGCUCGCGGCCUAUCAGCUUGUUGGUGUGGGUAAUGGCCCACCAAGGCGACGACGGGUAGCCGGCCUGAGAGGGUGACCGGCCACACUGGGACUGAGACACGGCCCAGGCUCCUACGGGAGGCAGCAGUGGGGAAUAUUGGACAAUGGGCGAAAGCCUGAUCCAGCAACGCCGCGUGAGGGAUGACGGCCUUCGGGUUGUAAACCUCUUUCAGCAGGGACGAAGCGAGAGUGACGGUACCUGCAGAAGAAGGACCGGCCAACUACGUGCCAGCCGCCGCAGUAA